UUGUUUGAGGGGUUUGCUGGGUUUGGAAGGGUUUCUUUGCUGCAAUUUGAGUAUUUUCGUGCCUUCGGGCCUAGGCCCUGCCAAAGCCUUCCGUGCUGUAGCGGGCGAGGAGAGAGGGAAUGGUGUGACCGUUACGGGCCCCCUGAAUGGACUGGAGCUGUACGUGCCCUCUCCUGCCCUUCCUGCAAGUCAGUUCCUUUCUUUUGGGUGUCAAGUGGGGCCAGAACCUGUCCCAUCCCGUCCCAGAUGCGGCAGGAGCCGUGGGCCGCGGGGAGGCCUCUGAGAUGGCGGCAGCAGCCUGGGCAGGGCCCCAUCUGUCUGGUCCUCACCAUGGUGCUGGUCACGCAGCUGAAGCGCUCAGAUGCCACGGGCUGUGAGAUGGGCGAGUACCCCAAUGGCACCGAGUGCUGUCCCACAUGUGGUGCGGGGGCCAACCUGGUGACAGCAGCA
Long non-coding RNA from Neopelma chrysocephalum (saffron-crested tyrant-manakin), 450 nucleotides. RefSeq lists it as uncharacterized. NCBI's taxonomy places the organism in Eukaryota, Metazoa, Chordata, Aves, Passeriformes, Pipridae. The record is from RefSeq and is a predicted model, not a curated record. The transcript is spliced from 3 exons.